GUCCGGCCAGAGGUAGACGGCCCGCGGGGCCAAUCGGAGUGCAGGCAGGGCAGCAGGCCCCGCCUCCGAAACAACAGAAAGCACUUGACAGGCUUGCUCUCCAAUGAGAAGCCCCGGAAAAGUGUCGCGCGGAGGCGGAGCCACGCGGUACAGCCACCUCUGCGCCUGCUCAAAGGCCCUGGACACUUGGAGUCUAGGUCCCCAAGCUAGGCCAGGGAAGUGACUCUGGCUGUUAGCCACAGCCCACGCCUACCCUUGCCCUGUGAUUCAGACACCCGAGUUCAGAGCCAGCCUCCAAGAGUAUCUUACAUCCCAGCGUCUCCUGGAAGGCCGUAUGAUCCAGCACUGGGGAGAGGAGGGAAAUCCCCAGGACUCGAAUGCCCAUCCCACCCUUGGUGUAGUGAGGACUCAUCCUGCUGGAAAGGCCCCUGAAGAACUUCAAGUUCCAAUAUCCCGUUUUUACAGAUGGGGAAACUGACAUGAAGAGGAGUCCAAAGUGACACAGUCAGGCCAGAAAUGUUGCUUCUGAAGUCCUGAGUCCACCUCCUAGCACUGCCAAGCAGUCCACCUGGAGGUGAUGAGAACUUCCAGGCUUUGGUAAUGGACAACUCUGUAUCCCUGGAGCCUUCAUUCCUUUUGGCAUUACAGAACCACAAGAAGUCAUCUAGAAUCAUUGAGAUUCUCAACUCCAUUGGGCAAACUGGAACCAGCAAAAUCUCAGAUAUCUAGAAUUGCCACUGCUUCCUUGACUCUGUGAUCAGUCUACAGCCACAGAAUCCUGAUUCCCUUUGGACAUUCUAGAAUGGCACUUUAAAAAAAAACAACCCACCCAGUGGAUCCUUUCAAAGCACUGCUUAUUCUCUUGGCUGGGUGCUCUACAGCCAGAAGUUGGAGUUAUCUAAUAUCAAGAACUCUUAAUCUGUCACUUCAGUCUUUCUAAACCCACAGACUAACAAUGUUUUGUGCAUUCU
This 971-nucleotide long non-coding RNA is filed under the name Homo sapiens (human). RNAcentral's name for it is "HSALNT0398393". Lineage: Eukaryota; Metazoa; Chordata; Mammalia; Primates; Hominidae. The record is from RNAcentral.